This is a long non-coding RNA of Homalodisca vitripennis (glassy-winged sharpshooter), 2970 nucleotides long. RefSeq lists it as uncharacterized. NCBI's taxonomy places the organism in Eukaryota, Metazoa, Arthropoda, Insecta, Hemiptera, Cicadellidae. The transcript has 2 exons. The record is from RefSeq and is a predicted model, not a curated record.
UACAAUACGUCUACUCGCUAUAGCAUCCAAACGAAACAAUACACUGAUAGAGGAAAUUUAGACAAGUGAACAGCGCGCGGUAAUUCCCUUACUCGGUUCUAACGCGAGUAGGGGAAUUACCGCGCACUGUUCAAUAAACGUAUGUAUUACUUGCGGGAAUCCCCGAAAAUGCGUUUCGUUUUCAAGCAAAGACAAUGUGUGGGUUGCCGUUCGUGUAAAAAAGAAAAUAACUACCGAUGACGUAAUCAUCAUCUAGACUCCCCUACCCCCCAUGUCAUCCAAAAUAAGCAAAGCAAAGACCCCCCGCCCCCCCCAUAGUGCUUACGUAAUACUUGAACGGCCCCUAUGACACAGCUUUGACCUUUAAAAUACACAUUCAAAACCAUUAACGAGUUAUUGUUCAUUCAGUUUUAAUUGCUUUAGUCCAUUGUAAACAAUAACUAGAUCUGUCAAUUCAGUAUAACUAUUAUAAUAGCAAUAUACUUCUGCAAUUGUUACUAAGGGUUUUCUGAGUUUGUUUUUCCGUAAAUAUAAAUAAAUCAGUUCAUUCAGAUCUAACAUAUUGAAUUAUCUAAACAGCUUUUAUAUAUUUUGAAGAUCACUAGAGUCAUACGAUCUGGAAGGUCGAGGCCAAUCUCAGAACUGCUCACCAAAUGAUCGGCUCUUUUUGGUAGAUUAUGUGAGUCGGAUCAGCUCACUGAGUUGCCUUGCACUCAUGUCUGAGCUGGAACGGGGCUGAAGUCAUCACACAAUAUCAUGAGAACUUUCUCAGCACAACCAUCUUCAUCCGUAGACGUGUCACGUUUAGUGCCCUCACUAUAAUAAUCUGUAACACUUUGCUUCUUUGCAAUUUGUAAUAAAGUGUAACACUUACCACUUAUUAUCGAACUGUACAAAAGAAUUAACUCACGAUAGCGAGUAGCUAAUAGAAUAACAACGUAGGUUAGACGCUACGCAUGCUACUGUCGUUAGCUAUAGAGUAAUGGAUCAGGUAAACAAACCAAGUCAAAGAAUAGACUUGAUGAGAAAUAGGCCAUAACGACAGUUUCUAACGGUUUGAUUGGAAAUUUCAUGCAAUACAAUAUACCACAAUGUAGGAAAAUUAUAUUUUGUUUUCUUGACCUCCAAUUUAAUUUUUAUUUGUAAUCCUUUGGCUGUGAAAAUCAAGUAAUUUUAUUUCGUGUUUAAGCUAAAUACUUUUCCCUCCUGUCCCUUCCUAAAAAAGGGGGUCUGCUGACCCCCCUCCAGUUCCACUGUUCCUGACUUUGACGAAGGACUCUGGCCCUUGAACUAUUCUGAACCCUCGUCGACACAAUGGUUACUAGCGAUACCCUCGUGUUACUACGGCAUGUUAUAAUGACAUAUAUUUGUUUAUUAAUUUUUUUCAUUCAAAUAUUGUCUCAUUGCAAUCAUGGUUAUCCAUAACACCAAUGUAAAACUGUUUGCCAACACUCAGUCAAAACCUUUGGAGUUUCAUGUGAUCGAAGUCGAUUUUGCCCAUAUAGAAGUGAAGCUUUACAAAAUUUCAAUGUAUGUCAGUUCGUUCUCGGGAUGUCGUGCAGACAUACAUACAUUAAUGUUAUUUUCCUGCCCCUCGAGGUAUAGAUUUCACUAACUCUCAGGCAAGUAGCCUACAUGGCGCUCUGAUAUUAUUCUGAACAGCGUAAAUAAUGCAGUUUUAAUAUUAUUAUAUAGUUUUAAAAUAUAGCGUCUAAUGAGGGUAAGCUGAUAUACAUAAACUGGACGUUCAAACUAGGCAUUGAUUAACGUGUCAUGUCAUGAAUUGUCAUAUACGGAGAACAUAUCGAGUUACAAAAGUCUAAUAUUCUAAUUUAUUACAAGUUUACAGAAAAAUUAAACAUUGUAUUGUCGGAUCCGAGAACCAUUUAACACUGUAAAAGAACGCAACCUGCUUUUUCUCUAAAUAGAUAAAGGAACUUUUCCUAAGAAAGUCAUUAAUAUUCAGCCAAGGUAGUUUCGAUAGAGGUUGAAAUGUAAAGGUACCAAAUGGGUAUAAACAAUAAAGUUUAUUCUGAUAUUAUAUUAAAAACUCUAGCUUAAUUAUACUUAAAACUUAUCGUCAGAUACACAAAUAAAACUUAUUUCACCGCCAGAACUAGGUACGGAGAUUAAGGUUCUCUACAUGAUUAGCUGACAUGGGUUAAUUAUUUACGUGUCUGUCAAUUGGUUUUACAUAAUAUGACAUAUUAUGUCAAGCUAAUAAAUAUAUGAUUACUAUUUCACAUGUUUAACCCUUAUGAUACUUUUCAAUUUUGGCCCCUACCAAAACUAGCACGCGUGAUAAUUAAAUUUUACAGGAGUUCUUUUAGAAAUGUAGAUUUUAAGAAAAUGUUUUAAAAUUAAAGUUUUUCUCGGUCGCUGGAUUGUUAUGUUUGUUUUUUUGUACUUAAAUUUUUGUUUUUCUUCGUAACAUAUUUCAUUGUGGGUUGUAGCAUAUGACUGUCAUUAGGUGACACUGAUGACAUGACUGUGCACUACAGUCCUGGUUUCCCACGGCGCUGCUGUGCUGGAGGUGUGCUGUUGGAAGACUACACUACGUUGCUGUUUAAGUCGUAGUUGCUUAGGUGAAAACAGGUACGGAGGAUGAAAGGGUCAAAAUGCAAAAGUUUGCGCACAACACGAUGAAAAAAUAUUUGUUCCUGUAAAAUGACAAGAUUUACUGUGUUUCUGUAUCAAGAUGAUACAAACUAUAUUUCACGAAACGUGUAGUAAAAACAACAAAAUAACUCGUAACAGUUGAUUGGGAGUUCAGAAUUCUUUUCACAGGAGAUAAUACCUGCACAUCAGGAGAUAAGAAGAACCACUGGGGUCGGAGACAGCAAUAUGGUUUUUCCGAAUCUGACGAUUCCAUAUUCGGGUCGGGGAAGAAUAUAAAUGACCUCAUCUCGACUUAUGUAAUAUUACUGUACGUUUUAAGUCUUGAACUGCAGAAUAAUGCAGAUCAUACAA